UUACGGCCACAUCACGUUAAAACACCGAUUCCCGUACGAUCACCGAUUACCAAGUUAAGCACCGUCGAGCCUGGUCAGUAACUAGAUGGGUGACCGCUUGGAAAUAUCA
Non-coding RNA from Acanthosepion pharaonis, 109 nucleotides. Lineage: Eukaryota; Metazoa; Mollusca; Cephalopoda; Sepiida; Sepiidae. The record is from the annotation of a GenBank genome assembly.